UGAGAUAGCAUUUGCCCUGGCUUCU
Molecule: non-coding RNA, 25 nt
Filed under: Rattus norvegicus (Norway rat)
Lineage: Eukaryota; Metazoa; Chordata; Mammalia; Rodentia; Muridae
Source: RNAcentral